Molecule: non-coding RNA, 393 nt
Filed under: Merops nubicus (carmine bee-eater)
Lineage: Eukaryota; Metazoa; Chordata; Aves; Coraciiformes; Meropidae
Description: Eukaryotic small subunit ribosomal RNA
Rfam family: Eukaryotic small subunit ribosomal RNA
Source: Rfam by way of RNAcentral
UAAAUUAUUGCUUAGUUAAUACCAUAAAACGUUGCAAGAAGUUUAUUGGAAUUUUAAGAUUAAAAUUCCGUGAAAUUUUACAUUUCAUAUUCAGAGCUGAUAUUUGGCUAACUUCAUAACAGAGUCAAAUUUACAAAAGGCCUUCUGGAAUAGGACUCUGGUUCUGUUUUGUUGGGUUUUGGAAAGGGGUCCAUGAUUAAGAGGGAUGGCUGGGAACAUUCAUUUUGUGCUACUAGAGGCAAAAUUCUCAGACUGGCCCAAGAAAGCCUAGAGCAAAGGCAUGUGCCAAGAAUGUUUUCAUUAAUCAAGAAUGCAAGAAGUUCAAAGAUGGUCAGAUACCAUUUUAGUUCCAACCAUAAAUGGUGUUGACUGGAAAUACACAUAUAUUGAAUA